RNAcentral lists this ribosomal RNA (253 nucleotides) under uncultured microorganism. RNAcentral's name for it is "partial 16S ribosomal RNA". It matches the Rfam family "Bacterial small subunit ribosomal RNA", at positions 524 to 776 of the family's 1533-position model. The record is from RNAcentral.
GACAGAGGGGGCAAGCGUUGCUCGGAUUUACUGGGCGUAAAGGGCGCGGAGGCGGCUUUGUAAGUCCGAGGUGAAAUUCCAGAGCUUAACUGUGGAACUGCCUUGGAAACUGCAAGGCUUGAGUCAGGUAGAGGGAGGCGGAAUUCCCGGUGUAGCGGUGAAAUGCGUAGAUAUCGGGAGGAAGGCCGGUGGCGAAGGCGGCCUCCUGGGCCUGCACUGACGCUGAGGCGCGAAAGCGUGGGGAGCAAACAGG